Molecule: ribosomal RNA, 216 nt
Filed under: Glomeromycotina sp.
Lineage: Eukaryota; Fungi; Glomeromycota
Description: partial small subunit ribosomal RNA
Rfam family: Eukaryotic small subunit ribosomal RNA (bases 40-216)
Source: RNAcentral
GGGUCAGUAGGUUGGUCGUGCCACCGGUACGUACUGGUCUCACUGAUUCCUCCUUCCUGAAGUACCGUAAUGCCAUUAAUUUGGUGUUGCGGGGAAACAGGACUGUUACCUUGAAAAAAUUAGAGUGUUUAAAGCAAGCUAACGCUUGAAUACAUUAGCAUGGAAUAAUGAAAUAGGACGAUCGAUCCUAUUUUGUUGGUUUCUAGGAUUGACGUA